AAGUUAUUGCCUCCUAUAGUCGUUGAGUAUCUACACCCUCUGAUAUAUUUGA
This 52-nucleotide small RNA is filed under the name Arabidopsis thaliana (thale cress). RNAcentral's name for it is "ATSL028770". The record is from RNAcentral. Lineage: Eukaryota; Viridiplantae; Streptophyta; Magnoliopsida; Brassicales; Brassicaceae.